GGCAGUGAUGAUCAACGCUAUAUUUCUGACACCUCUUGUAUGAGAAGAACCCUGAAAAAGUUCUUCCUUGAGCACAGUUAGCAACUCUCUGAGCC
This is a small nucleolar RNA of Papaver somniferum (opium poppy), 95 nucleotides long. RefSeq annotates it as small nucleolar RNA snoR1. The transcript has a single exon. Lineage: Eukaryota; Viridiplantae; Streptophyta; Magnoliopsida; Ranunculales; Papaveraceae. The record is from RefSeq and is a predicted model, not a curated record.